UCGCUAUUGAAAUCCAACAUGCUCUCCAUGGGGGCCCAGUGUGCCAUGGCUGCAAACAGUAGCCUCCUUGGUAGUGUAUCCAGCCUGUUGAUUGUAUGGGUUGCCCUAAGGGACCUUGGAGACAGCC
This is a non-coding RNA of Canis lupus familiaris (dog), 127 nucleotides long. The record is from Rfam. Lineage: Eukaryota; Metazoa; Chordata; Mammalia; Carnivora; Canidae.